RNAcentral lists this long non-coding RNA (247 nucleotides) under Citrus sinensis (sweet orange). Its description in RNAcentral is "long non-coding RNA (CSIN_LNC005352)". The record is from RNAcentral. Lineage: Eukaryota; Viridiplantae; Streptophyta; Magnoliopsida; Sapindales; Rutaceae.
AAAAAUAAAGGACACAAGAAUUUACGUGGUUCGGUAAUUAAACCUACAUCCACGGAGGUAAGAAAGAAUAAUUGUUUAUUUAACAAUUAAUAGAAUACAAUAUUUGAGUAACGAAUCUCACUUCCCAGAAACCCAAAUAUACCCAGUACUCUCACACUCUGCAGGAAAGAUGAAUUCCCCAGACACACUUCUCUCACUUCUCUCAAAAGCUUAGAAACUUAUAAGCUUAACAAUUUUGGGAUUAUUU